Molecule: ribosomal RNA, 492 nt
Filed under: uncultured bacterium
Lineage: Bacteria
Description: partial 16S ribosomal RNA
Rfam family: Bacterial small subunit ribosomal RNA
Source: RNAcentral
AGUGAACGCUGGCGGUAGGCCUAACACAUGCAAGUCGAACGGCAGCACAGUAAGAGCUUGCUCUUACGGGUGGCGAGUGGCGGACGGGUGAGGAAUACAUCGGAAUCUACUUUUUCGUGGGGGAUAACGUAGGGAAACUUACGCUAAUACCGCAUACGACCUACGGGUGAAAGCAGGGGAUCUUCGGACCUUGCGCGAUUGAAUGAGCCGAUGUCGGAUUAGCUAGUUGGCGGGGUAAAGGCCCACCAAGGCGACGAUCCGUAGCUGGUCUGAGAGGAUGAUCAGCCACACUGGAACUGAGACACGGGCCAGACUCCUACGGGAGGCAGCAAUGGGGAAUAUUGGACAAUGGGCGCAAGCCUGAUCCAGCCAUACCGCGUGGGUGAAGAAGGCCUUCGGGUUGUAAAGCCCUUUUGUUGGGAAAGAAAAGCAGCAGGUUAAUACCCCGCUGUUCUGACGGUACCCAAAGAAUAAGCACCGGCUAACUUCGUG